UAUGGCCUUAGGCUCCUGAUUCUCGCAAAGGACACGGUUGCCUUGGCCGCUGGGAUUAUUGGGCUGCAGAGGCGCGAAACUUCCUUUAAUGCUAUUAACUGUGCGAAGGGGAUUAUCUUCGAGAUGCUUACCAUGAAGAAGGUGGCUUUUUUCGUGGUUAUAAAAAGCUUAUAGGGUAAUAAGAGGGGUGGCUAAGACUUGGUGUCUAGCCGCCGCGGUAACUACUCAGCCCCUUCGAGUGGUGGGGAUGAUUAUUUGGCCUUAAAGCGUUCGUAGCCGGCUCGGGUAAGUCUCUCCGAUUAAAUCUUAACGUCUUCUAAGCUGUUGGACUGCGGGAGAUACUGCCUGGCUUAGAGAGUGGGAGAGGUAGCGGUAUUCUUGGGGGUAGGGGCGAAAUCCUUUUGAUCCCCGGAGGACCAACCAGAGGCCGAAGGCUGCUGACUUAGAACACGUUUGACGGUUCAGGGACUGAAAGCUUGGGGUGCUAACCUGGAUUCAUACCUUGGUUAGUCCUAGCCGCUAACAUGCAUGCUAGGUGUUGGGUUGGCCACGAGCCACCCUCAGGCCUCAGGAGAAGCCGUUAAGCUAUGUCGCUUGGGAAGAACUGAUCGCAAGAUUGAAACUUUAAAGGGAAUUG
This 637-nucleotide ribosomal RNA is filed under the name uncultured archaeon. RNAcentral describes it as "bacterial SSU rRNA". It matches the Rfam family "Archaeal small subunit ribosomal RNA", at positions 243 to 867 of the family's 1478-position model. The record is from RNAcentral.